This 120-nucleotide ribosomal RNA is filed under the name Staphylococcus epidermidis. RNAcentral's name for it is "partial 23S ribosomal RNA". It matches the Rfam family "Bacterial large subunit ribosomal RNA", at positions 1 to 119 of the family's 2925-position model. Lineage: Bacteria; Bacillati; Bacillota; Bacilli; Caryophanales; Staphylococcaceae. RNAcentral also lists the same sequence under 1 other name. The record is from RNAcentral.
AGAUUAAGUUAUUAAGGGCGCACGGUGGAUGCCUUGGCACUAGAAGCCGAUGAAGGACGUUACUAACGACGAUAUGCUUUGGGUAGCUGUAAGUAAGCGUUGAUCCAGAGAUUUCCGAAU